UUGGAGCUAGCCGUCGAAGGUGGGACAAAUGAUUGGGGUGAAGUCGUAACAAGGUAGCCGUAUCGGAAGGUGCGGCUGGAUCACCUCCUUUCUAAGGA
This 98-nucleotide ribosomal RNA is filed under the name Staphylococcus hominis. RNAcentral describes it as "partial 16S ribosomal RNA". It matches the Rfam family "Bacterial small subunit ribosomal RNA", at positions 1443 to 1533 of the family's 1533-position model. Lineage: Bacteria; Bacillati; Bacillota; Bacilli; Caryophanales; Staphylococcaceae. The record is from RNAcentral.